CUCCAGACUCCUACGGGAGGCAGCAGUGGGGAAUAUUGCACAAUGGGGGAAACCCUGAUGCAGCGACGCCGCGUGAAGGAAGAAGUAUUUCGGUAUGUAAACUUCUAUCAGCAGGGAAGAAAAUGACGGUACCUGACUAAGAAGCCCCGGCUAACUACGUGCCAGCAGCCGCGGUAAUACGUAGGGGGCAAGCGUUAUCCGGAUUUACUGGGUGUAAAGGGAGCGUAGGCGGCGUGGCAAGUCAGAGGUAAAAGCCCGGGGCUCAACCCCGGACGGCCGUUGAAACUGGUUUUCUAGAGUUGGAGAGAAGUAUGCGGAAUUCGUGGUGUAGCGGUGAAAUGCAUAGAUAUCACGAAGAACUCCGAUUGCGAAGGCAGCAUACCGGCUCCAUACUGACGCUGAGGCACGAAAGCGUGGGGAUCGAACAGGAUUAGAUACCCUAGUA
This 445-nucleotide ribosomal RNA is filed under the name uncultured bacterium. RNAcentral describes it as "bacterial SSU rRNA". It matches the Rfam family "Bacterial small subunit ribosomal RNA", at positions 329 to 792 of the family's 1533-position model. The record is from RNAcentral.